RNAcentral lists this ribosomal RNA (253 nucleotides) under uncultured bacterium. RNAcentral describes it as "partial 16S ribosomal RNA". It matches the Rfam family "Bacterial small subunit ribosomal RNA", at positions 524 to 776 of the family's 1533-position model. The record is from RNAcentral.
UACGUAGGGUGCGAGCGUUGUCCGGAAUUACUGGGCGUAAAGAGCUCGUAGGUGGUUUGUCGCGUUGUUCGUGAAAUCUCACGGCUUAACUGUGAGCGUGCGGGCGAUACGGGCAGACUGGAGUACUGCAGGGGAGACUGGAAUUCCUGGUGUAGCGGUGGAAUGCGCAGAUAUCAGGAGGAACACCGGUGGCGAAGGCGGGUCUCUGGGCCGAUAUUGACGCUGAGGAGCGAAAGCGUGGGGAGCGAACAGG